This is a non-coding RNA of Pelobates cultripes (western spadefoot toad), 232 nucleotides long. The record is from the annotation of a GenBank genome assembly. NCBI's taxonomy places the organism in Eukaryota, Metazoa, Chordata, Amphibia, Anura, Pelobatidae.
CUCAAAGUGAAGUGUCGUCUCAUUAUUGGGGGAAGGAUUUAUUGUAUGCUGUUCCAGUUUGACUGCUAGGAGAGUAAACCUAUUCGUAUGGUUCCUAUUCAACUGUCUACAGCAUUCAUAUGCUUGGGAGAAUUUAUUUGUUUCUCCGGUUCGGUGAUUGUGGUGUCUGCCAGAGUGCUUGGAGCCCUCAGGAAGCGCUACGAGCAUCCUUCAACCGAGGUACCCAGUCGGG